This is a non-coding RNA of Gasterosteus aculeatus aculeatus (three-spined stickleback), 2016 nucleotides long. The record is from RefSeq and is a predicted model, not a curated record. Lineage: Eukaryota; Metazoa; Chordata; Actinopteri; Perciformes; Gasterosteidae.
AAGGCAAUCACUAAACCUACCUUCAUUAUCACUAAAAGGAGAAUAUUAACACAAACUAUUUAGGAUUAUUGUUAUAACCUUAGUGGAGUUGUCAAUGCUGCAUCACAAUUUGUGUUAAGACAGUAUAAAUUAAAAGUUGCUUUUACAAAUACUUAAUUAUCUUUUAUUUUACAGGAAACUGUAGACUCAAAAUCAACGAGCAGUUCUACUUCUAUGAUUGGGUCACCCCUAUCUCAGACAUCCACUCAAGUAAAAAGAUGUCCCGCAAAGCACACAACACCUGAAAAUGUUGUGAAGUUAUCCUUCCCCGAAUAUGUAUUGCACACUGACACCAAACUAGAGCAAUGCCGAAAACAAUAUUUUGAGUUGGCGAAGGCCGGCGAAGAGAGAAACUGCCAAAUGUCAAAGGACCUCAGAUGUCGGCUCAUCCGAAACACCAUGACCAGUAUGAUCGCAAUCCUGAGGGCAACGGGGGACAGAGACAGAUACCCGUCAAAGCCAGAAAUAACAGCUAUGGCAAAGCGAACAGUGCUGUACUACCCCAUGCUGCAGGACCGAGACCUGAGCAGCAAGUAUGCAUGGGUAGGUCAAAUGCAUCCAGGUGCAUGUUUGAUGUUUGAAGCAUUUAUUUGAAUUUUUCUUGUCACAGGUUACUGUGUACUCACAGCUAUACAAAAGAUUGAAAAAUUUGAGAUCACCCCAAAAGACCAAUCCAAAGAGGCGCCGACUCGAGGAGCUAAAGUGCCAACCUGACUGACCCAGAUGAAUUUGAUUCAAGUGACUCAACAGUCAUUCUGGAUCUCCCCUCAAAAGGGGGUAGCAUUCAAGCAUUCAAGACUUCCCUUCUGAAGGGAGUAGCACCCCAGACUCGGGCAACAAUGCCAGAUAUGCCCGCAUCUUUGCGUAAGAAGAAAACUCCAAACCGUGAGUCCGUCUCUCAGCUCCUGGAUUUGGAAUUUUCAGCCAGAAGAGCAUUCAUUGAUUCUUUUUGCGAGGAGGACAGACACAAGAAAAUUCCAGAGGACAUUGGACAUGUGAUGGAGGAGCUUCAACGCAUUCUGGACAAAAAUAACAUCCAUUACAUUGAUGAGCUGAAGGGAAGAUGGGACGACUUCUGCCAGAAGGUGCAGUUUUUUGGUGUGUGGAAAAAGCUGCUGAAACCCUCAGUAGGAAUGGACAAAGGCUCUCAGUAUCCUACGUGUGCUGCCUUCAUUGUCCCCCUCUUCAUCUGCUCCUCUGAAGAAGUUAGGACAUGUGAGUGAGGCUCUUGUGCAUGUCCUCGAGGAAAAAGAAGACCCCAAUGACUAUUUGAAGAAACGUCGUCUCUCCUGCCCAGUCCUUAUUGUGAGUUUGUCCAACUGCCUCCUGGCUGUAGGAGAUGUGCUGAUAACUACGCUCCCAAAAGACAAGGUAACACAGGGUGUUUUAUACCUUACGGCCUACUAUUAUGCUCUACACCUUACUUACCCCAGGUGCGUAGCCACUCUGCUCUCUGUCAUAAAAACGGAGGUUCUCUUGGACACAAUCCAUGAGCGAGACCUCACACCAUCUUUCAAGAAGGGCAUGGCUGACUGGAAAGCCUUUGUUGGCAAGUAAAGCCGUUUCCAUUCUUAUUUAGCAAAUGUUUCCCAAUGUUAAGGUCGCAAUAAUAACAAUGUUGUUGAUCUAUUGAGGGACACAGUGGUCAAAUAUUUAUGUUAAUGUUAGCCCAAGACCCAUAACUUGUUGCAAUAAUAAGCACAUUGUAAGUGUAUUGAGGAGACAGAGGUCAGAUGAUUAUGUCUGACUGUAAUCCAUGUGUUACACAUAUAUGUCAUGUUUUGCUAUGUUUUUUUACUAUUAUUAGUAUUUUAUUACAGUGCCAUACACACUGCGCCAAAACAUGACUGGUGCUGCAGGCACAGUGUAACUGACUGACUGCACUGUAUUGUAAGAAUUGUUUGCUCCCUCCUGCAUUUCAGAGCUAAAGAGGCAUGCUCUUUCUUAUGCAAAUAAAAUAUUUGUUUGUUUAAUGCA